GGGAAGAAUUGGACAGGCAGACAGAGCUUACAGAAAAAUACUUUAGUAAAAUGAAGGACCUGAAAAUCAUGUUAGAAAGAGCAAGGGUGAAGGAACUGGAGUCAGCCGAUCCUGCCAGAUCUCAGACAGAUGGUGUUUGGGACAUUAAUGAGCGUGUCAACAACACAAGGACGCAGUAGUAGCCAAAACUAAAGAUCUAGAAUAUUAAUGUAAACAACAAGAAAAAGAGCUAGACAGAUUAAAAGAUAAACUACAUAAAAGAGCUCUAUGUCUCUUCAGGAGGAACGACAGAAUAAGGGAGUGGCAGAAGUGUUUCAAGAGUUCUGACGGAGAACUGCGAGGGCUCACCAUACCAUGGAUGAUAAACUGUUAGAUGUACUUGACACAUAUGAACGACAGUUACAGAAUUUGCAAAAAGAUUUGGAAAU
This is a long non-coding RNA of Mercenaria mercenaria, 428 nucleotides long. RefSeq lists it as uncharacterized. The transcript has 3 exons. The record is from RefSeq and is a predicted model, not a curated record. NCBI's taxonomy places the organism in Eukaryota, Metazoa, Mollusca, Bivalvia, Venerida, Veneridae.